RNAcentral lists this ribosomal RNA (498 nucleotides) under uncultured bacterium. RNAcentral's name for it is "partial 16S ribosomal RNA". It matches the Rfam family "Bacterial small subunit ribosomal RNA", at positions 28 to 523 of the family's 1533-position model. The record is from RNAcentral.
GAUGAACGCUAGCUACAGGCUUAACACAUGCAAGUCGAGGGGUAGCAGGGUAGCAAUACCGCUGACGACCGGCGCACGGGUGAGUAACACGUAUCCAACCUUCCCAUAACUCGGGGAUAGCCUUUCGAAAGAAAGAUUAAUACCCGAUAGUACUUUUUCAAGGCAUCUUGAGAAAGUUAAAGAUUUAUUGGUUAUGGAUGGGGAUGCGUUCCAUUAGAUAGUUGGUGAGGUAACGGCUCACCAAGUCUUCGAUGGAUAGGGGUUCUGAGAGGAAGGUACCCCACAUUGGUACUGAGACACGGACCAAACUCCUACGGGAGGCAGCAGUGAGGGAUAUUGGUCAAUGGGCGAGAGCCUGAACCAGCCAAGUAGCGUGAAGGAUGAAGGUCCUAUGGAUUGUAAACUUCUUUUAUAGUAGAAUAAAGUGACCUACGUGUAGGUUUUUGUAUGUAUACUAUGAAUGAGGAUCGGCUAACUCCGUGCCAGCCGCCGCAGUAA